Molecule: ribosomal RNA, 274 nt
Filed under: uncultured bacterium
Lineage: Bacteria
Description: partial 16S ribosomal RNA
Rfam family: Bacterial small subunit ribosomal RNA
Source: RNAcentral
AUACGGAGGGUGCAAGCGUUAAUCGGAAUUACUGGGCGUAAAGCGCUCGUAGGCGGCUUGUUAAGUCGGGUGUGAAAUCCCGGGGCUCAACCCCGGAACUGCAUUCGAAACUGCCUCGCUGGAGUCCCGGAGAGGAGAGCGGAAUUCCCGGUGUAGAGGUGAAAUUCGUAGAUAUCGGGAGGAACACCAGCGGCGAAGGCGGCUCUCUGGACGGUGACUGACGCUGAGACGCGAAAGCGUGGGGAGCAAACAGGAUUAGAAACCCCAGUAGUCC